RNAcentral lists this ribosomal RNA (245 nucleotides) under uncultured Petrimonas sp. RNAcentral's name for it is "partial 16S ribosomal RNA". It matches the Rfam family "Bacterial small subunit ribosomal RNA", at positions 524 to 769 of the family's 1533-position model. The record is from RNAcentral. Lineage: Bacteria; Pseudomonadati; Bacteroidota; Bacteroidia; Bacteroidales; Dysgonomonadaceae.
UACGGAAGGUCCGAGCGUUAUCCGGAUUUAUUGGGUUUAAAGGGAGCGCAGGCGGGAUGUUAAGUCAGCCGUUAAAGUUCGGGGCCCAACCCCGUGUUGCGGUUGAUACUGGCGUUCUUGAGUCCGCAAGAGGCCGGUGGAAUUCGUGGUGUAGCGGUGAAAUGCAUAGAUAUCACGAGGAACUCCGAUUGCGAAGGCAGCCGGCUGGGGCGCGACUGACGCUCAUGCUCGAAGGCGCGGGUAUC